Molecule: ribosomal RNA, 678 nt
Filed under: Stephanospora occidentiaustralis
Lineage: Eukaryota; Fungi; Basidiomycota; Agaricomycetes; Agaricales; Stephanosporaceae
Description: eukaryotic LSU rRNA
Rfam family: Eukaryotic large subunit ribosomal RNA
Source: RNAcentral
GAGUUGUAAUUUAGAGAAGUGUUACCCGCGCUGACCGUGUACAAGUCUCCUCGAACGGAGCAUCAUAGAGGGUGAGAAUCCCGUAUAUGACACGGACUCCCAGGGCUUUGUGGUAUGCUCUCGAUGAGUCGAGUUGUUUGGGAAUGCAGCUCUAAAUGGGUGGUAAAUUCCAUCUAAAGCUAAAUAUAGGCGAGAGACCGAUAGCGAACAAGUACCGUGAGGGAAAGAUGAAAAGAACUUUGGAAAGAGAGUUAAACAGUACGUGAAAUUGUUGAAAGGGAAACGCUUAAAGUCAGUCGCGUCUCUCAGAGAUCAACCUAGCCUUUUCGCUUGGUGCACUCUCUGUUGGAUGGGUCAGCAUCAAUUUUGACUGGGGGAAAAAGUUGGUAGGGAUGUGGCACCCUCGUGGUGUGUUAUAACCUAUUUGCAUAUACCUCUGUUGGGAUUGAGGAACUCAGCAUGCCGAAAGGCCGGACUUUUAGUCACGUACGUGCUUAGGAUGCUGGCAUAAUGUCUUUAAUCGACCCGUCUUGAAACACGGACCAAGGAGUCUAACAUGCCCGCGAGUGUUUGGGUGAAAAACCCAAGUGCGUAAUGAAAGUGAAAGUUGAGACCUCUGUCGUGGAGGGCAUCGACGCCCGGAUCAGAUCUUUUGGGACGAUUCCGAGGUAGAGCGUG